UAGAGUCUCAAAUUAAAAAUU
This 21-nucleotide non-coding RNA is filed under the name Caenorhabditis elegans. Lineage: Eukaryota; Metazoa; Nematoda; Chromadorea; Rhabditida; Rhabditidae. The record is from RNAcentral.